UAGGGAAUCUUCGGCAAUGGACGAAAGUCUGACCGAGCAACGCCGCGUGAGUGAAGAAGGUUUUCGGAUCGUAAAACUCUGUUGUUAGAGAAGAACAAGGACGUUAGUAACUGAACGUCCCCUGACGGUAUCUAACCAGAAAGCCACGGCUAACUACGUGCCAGCAGCCGCGGUAAUACGUAGGUGGCAAGCGUUGUCCGGAUUUAUUGGGCGUAAAGCGAGCGCAGGCGGUUUCUUAAGUCUGAUGUGAAAGCCCCCGGCUCAACCGGGGAGGGUCAUUGGAAACUGGGAGACUUGAGUGCAGAAGAGGGUAGUGGAAUUCCAUGUGUAGCGGUGAAAUGCGUAGAUAUAUGGAGGAACACCAGUGGCGAAGGCGGCUCUCUGGUCUGUAACUGACGCUGAGGCUCGAAAGCGUGGGGAGCAAACAGG
This 429-nucleotide ribosomal RNA is filed under the name Gemmatimonadota bacterium. Its description in RNAcentral is "Gemmatimonadetes bacterium partial 16S ribosomal RNA". It matches the Rfam family "Bacterial small subunit ribosomal RNA", at positions 355 to 776 of the family's 1533-position model. Lineage: Bacteria; Pseudomonadati; Gemmatimonadota. The record is from RNAcentral.